RNAcentral lists this ribosomal RNA (802 nucleotides) under uncultured bacterium. Its description in RNAcentral is "bacterial SSU rRNA". It matches the Rfam family "Bacterial small subunit ribosomal RNA", at positions 8 to 796 of the family's 1533-position model. The record is from RNAcentral.
AGAGUUUGAUCAUGGCUCAGGACGAACGCUGGCGGGUGCCUAACACAUGCAAGUCGUACGGGACUUGGGGGCAACUCCAAGUUCAGUGGCAGACGGGUGCGUAACACGUGAAGAACUUGUCCGGUGGCGGGGGAUAGCCGGCCCAACGGCCGGGUAAUACCGCAUACGAUCGCGCGGGGGCAUCUCUGCGCGAGGAAAGCAGCCGCAAGGUUGCGCCGACGGAGAGCUUCGCGGCCUAUCAGCUUGUUGGCGGGGUAAUGGCCCACCAAGGCUACGACGGGUAGCUGGUCUGAGAGGAUGAUCAGCCACAUUGGGACUGAGACACGGCCCAGACUCCUACGGGAGGCAGCAGUGGGGAAUAUUGCGCAAUGGCCGCAAGGCUGACGCAGCGACGCCGCGUGUGGGAUGACGGUCUUCGGAUUGUAAACCACUGUCAGGGGGAACGAAUACAGGGCGUCGAAUAGGCGACCCUGGGUGACGGUACCUCCAAAGGAAGCACCGGCUAACUCCGUGCCAGCAGCCGCGGUAAUACGGAGGGUGCGAGCGUUGUCCGGAAUCACUGGGCGUAAAGGGUGCGUAGGCGGUUCAGUAAGCUGCUGGUGAAAUCCCGGGGCUCAACUCCGGGGCUGCCGGCACGACUGCUGGACUUGAGCACGGUAGGGGCAGAUGGAAUUCCCGGUGUAGCGGUGGAAUGCGUAGAUAUCGGGAAGAAUACCAGUGGCGAAGGCGUUCUGCUGGGCCGUUGCUGACGCUGAGGCACGACAGCGUGGGGAGCAAACAGGAUUAGAUACCCUAGUAGUCC